GGUGAGAUGGCUCAAUAGGUAAGAGCACUUGCUUUUUAAGCGUGAAGACCUUGAUUCAAAUUCCCGUCACCU
RNAcentral lists this transfer RNA (72 nucleotides) under Mesocricetus auratus (golden hamster). It matches the Rfam family "tRNA". From Rfam's summary of the family: Transfer RNA (tRNA) molecules are approximately 80 nucleotides in length. Their secondary structure includes four short double-helical elements and three loops (D, anti-codon, and T loops). Further hydrogen bonds mediate the characteristic L-shaped molecular structure. tRNAs have two regions of fundamental functional importance: the anti-codon, which is responsible for specific mRNA codon recognition, and the 3' end, to which the tRNAs corresponding amino acid is attached (by aminoacyl-tRNA synthetases). tRNAs cope with the degeneracy of the genetic code in two manners: having more than one tRNA (with a specific anti-codon) for a particular amino acid; and 'wobble' base-pairing, i.e. permitting non-standard base-pairing at the 3rd anti-codon position. The record is from Rfam by way of RNAcentral. Lineage: Eukaryota; Metazoa; Chordata; Mammalia; Rodentia; Cricetidae.